RNAcentral lists this ribosomal RNA (396 nucleotides) under uncultured bacterium. Its description in RNAcentral is "partial 16S ribosomal RNA". It matches the Rfam family "Bacterial small subunit ribosomal RNA", at positions 523 to 918 of the family's 1533-position model. The record is from RNAcentral.
AUACGUAGGUGGCAAGCGUUGUCCGGAAUUAUUGGGCGUAAAGCGCAUGUAGGCGGUUUGGUAAGUCGGUCGUGAAAAUGCGGUGCUUAACGCCGUAUGGCGAUUGAAACUGCUGAACUUGAGUGCAGGAGAGGAAAGGGGAACUCCCAGUGUAGCGGUGAAAUGCGUAGAUAUUGGGAAGAACACCGGUGGCGAAGGCGCCUUUCUGGACUGUGUCUGACGCUCAGAUGCGAAAGCCAGGGUAGCGAACGGGAUUAGAUCCCCCGGUAGUCCUGGCCGUAAACGGUGGGUACUAGGUGUGGGAGGUAUCGACUCCUUCCGUGCCGGAGUUAACGCAAUAAGUACCCCGCCUGGGGAGUACGGCCGCAAGGCUUAAACUCAAAGGAAUUGACGGGG